CAGCAGCCGCGGGAAUACGGAGGGUGCAAGCGUUAUCCGGAUUCACUGGGUUUAAAGGGUGCGUAGGCGGAUCUGUAAGUCAGUGGUGAAAUCUCCAGGCUUAACCUGGAAACUGCCGUUGAUACUAUAGGUCUUGAAUUUUGUGGAGGUUAGCGGAAUAUGUCAUGUAGCGGUGAAAUGCACAGAUAUGACAUAGAACACCAAUUGCGAAGGCAGCUGGCUACACAACUAUUGACGCUGAGGCACGAAAGCGUGGGGAUCAAACAGGAUUAGAUACCCCCGUAGUCCCUGUCUCUUAUAC
RNAcentral lists this ribosomal RNA (301 nucleotides) under uncultured bacterium. RNAcentral's name for it is "partial 16S ribosomal RNA". It matches the Rfam family "Bacterial small subunit ribosomal RNA", at positions 509 to 807 of the family's 1533-position model. The record is from RNAcentral.